GUCUGAAUAUGGGGGGACCAUCCUCCAAGGCUAAAUACUCCUGACUGACCGAUAGUGAACCAGUACCGUGAGGGAAAGGCGAAAAGAACCCCGGCGAGGGGAGUGAAAAAGAACCUGAAACCGUGUACGUACAAGCAGUGGGAGCCUCUUAAUGGGGUGACUGCGUACCUUUUGUAUAAUGGGUCAGCGACUUAUAUUCUGUAGCAAGGUUAACCGAAUAGGGGAGCCGAAGGGAAACCGAGUCUUAACUGGGCGUUAAGUUGCAGGGUAUAGACCCGAAACCCGGUGAUCUAGCCAUGGGCAGGUUGAAGGUUGGGUAACACUAACUGGAGGACCGAACCGACUAAUGUUGAAAAAUUAGCGGAUGACUUGUGGCUGGGGGUGAAAGGCCAAUCAAACCGGGAGAUAGCUGGUUCUCCCCGAAAGCUAUUUAGGUAGCGCCUCGUGAAUUCAUCUCCGGGGGUAGAGCACUGUUUCGGCAAGGGGGUCAUCCCGACUUACCAACCCGAUGCAAACUGCGAAUACCGGAGAAUGUUAUCACGGGAGACACACGGCGGGUGCUAACGUCCGUCGUGAAGAGGGAAACAACCCAGACCGCCAGCUAAGGUCCCAAAGUCAUGGUUAAGUGGGAAACGAUGUGGGAAGGCCCAGACAGCCAGGAUGUUGGCUUAGAAGCAGCCAUCAUUUAAAGAAAGCGUAAUAGCUCACUGGUCGAGUCGGCCUGCGCGGAAGAUGUAACGGGGCUAAACCAUGCAC
This 756-nucleotide ribosomal RNA is filed under the name Escherichia coli. RNAcentral describes it as "partial 23S ribosomal RNA". It matches the Rfam family "Bacterial large subunit ribosomal RNA", at positions 436 to 1194 of the family's 2925-position model. The record is from RNAcentral. Lineage: Bacteria; Pseudomonadati; Pseudomonadota; Gammaproteobacteria; Enterobacterales; Enterobacteriaceae.